Molecule: ribosomal RNA, 490 nt
Filed under: uncultured bacterium
Lineage: Bacteria
Description: partial 16S ribosomal RNA
Rfam family: Bacterial small subunit ribosomal RNA
Source: RNAcentral
AUUGAACGCUGGCGGCAGGCCUAACACAUGCAAGUCGAAUGGUAACAGGAAACAGCUUGCUGUUUCGCUGACGAGUGGCGGACGGGUGAGUAAUGUCUGGGAAACUGCCUGAUGGAGGGGGAUAACUACUGGAAACGGUAGCUAAUACCGCAUAACGUCGCAAGACCAAAGAGGGGGACCUUCGGGCCUCUUGCCAUCAGAUGUGCCCAGAUGGGAUUAGCUAGUAGGUGGGGUAACGGCUCACCUAGGCGACGAUCCCUAGCUGGUCUGAGAGGAUGACCAGCCACACUGGAACUGAGACACGGUCCAGACUCCUACGGGAGGCAGCAGUGGGGAAUAUUGCACAAUGGGCGCAAGCCUGAUGCAGCCAUGCCGCGUGUAUGAAGAAGGCCUUCGGGUUGUAAAGUACUUUCAGCGGGGAGGAAGGGAGUUAAGUUAAUACCUUUGCUCAUUGACGUUACCCGCAGAAGAAGCACCGGCUAACUCCGUG